CGAACGGGUGAGUAACGCGUGAGGAACCUGCCUCAAAGAGGGGGACAACAGUUGGAAACGACUGCUAAUACCGCAUAAGCCCACGGCUCGGCAUCGAGCAGAGGGAAAAGGAGCAAUCCGCUUUGAGAUGGCCUCGCGUCCGAUUAGCUAGUUGGUGAGGUAACGGCCCACCAAGGCGACGAUCGGUAGCCGGACUGGGAGGUUGAACGGCCACAUUGGGACUGUGACACGGCCCAG
RNAcentral lists this ribosomal RNA (237 nucleotides) under uncultured bacterium. Its description in RNAcentral is "partial 16S ribosomal RNA". It matches the Rfam family "Bacterial small subunit ribosomal RNA", at positions 99 to 334 of the family's 1533-position model. The record is from RNAcentral.